RNAcentral lists this ribosomal RNA (276 nucleotides) under Pediococcus acidilactici. Its description in RNAcentral is "partial 16S ribosomal RNA". It matches the Rfam family "Bacterial small subunit ribosomal RNA", at positions 93 to 367 of the family's 1533-position model. Lineage: Bacteria; Bacillati; Bacillota; Bacilli; Lactobacillales; Lactobacillaceae. The record is from RNAcentral.
GAGUGGCGGACGGGUGAGUAACACGUGGGUAACCUGCCCAGAAGCAGGGGAUAACACCUGGAAACGAUGCUAAUACCGUAUAACAGAGAAAACCGCCUGGUUUUCUUUUAAAAGAUGGCUCUGCUAUCACUUCUGGAUGGACCCGCGGCGCAUUACUAGUUGGUGAGGUAACGGCUCACCAAGGCGAUGAUGCGUAGCCGACCUGAGAGGGUAAUCGGCCCAUUGGGACUGAGACACGGCCCAGACUCCUACGGGAGGCACAGUAGGGAAUCUUCC